Molecule: unclassified non-coding RNA, 22 nt
Filed under: Meloidogyne artiellia
Lineage: Eukaryota; Metazoa; Nematoda; Chromadorea; Rhabditida; Meloidogynidae
Description: trans-spliced leader sequence
Source: RNAcentral
CUCAAACUUGGGUAAUUAAACC